RNAcentral lists this ribosomal RNA (540 nucleotides) under Lysinibacillus xylanilyticus. RNAcentral describes it as "partial 16S ribosomal RNA". It matches the Rfam family "Bacterial small subunit ribosomal RNA", at positions 499 to 1036 of the family's 1533-position model. Lineage: Bacteria; Bacillati; Bacillota; Bacilli; Caryophanales; Bacillaceae. The record is from RNAcentral.
AANUACGUGCCAGCAGCCGCGGUAAUAUGUAGGUGGCGAGCGUUGUCUGGAAUUAUUNGGCGUAAAGCGCGCGCAGGCGGUCUUUUAAGUCUGAUGUGAAAGCCCCCGGCUCUACCGUGGAGGGUCAUUGGAAACUGGGGGACUUGAGUGCAGAAGAGGAAAGUGGAAUUCCACGUGUAGCGGUGAAAUGCGUAGAGAUUUGGAGGAACACCAGUGGCGAAGGNGACUUUCUGGUCUGUAACUGACGCUGAGGCGNGAAAGCGUGGGGAGCAAACAGGAUUAGAUACCCUGGUUGUNCACGCCGUAAACGAUGAGUGNUAAGUGUUAGGGGGUUUCCGCCCCUUAGUGCUGCAGCUAACGCAUUAAGCACUCCGCCUGGGGAGUACGGUCGCAAGANUGAAACUCAAAGGAAUUGACGGGGGCCCGCNCNANCGGUGGAGCAUGUGGUUUAAUUNGAAGCAACGCGAAGANCNNNACCAGGUCUUGACAUCCCGUUGACCACGUAGAGAUAUGGUUUUCCCUUCGGGGACAACGGUGACA